Molecule: ribosomal RNA, 424 nt
Filed under: uncultured bacterium
Lineage: Bacteria
Also listed under: 1 other name
Description: bacterial SSU rRNA
Rfam family: Bacterial small subunit ribosomal RNA
Source: RNAcentral
UGAGGAAUAUUGGUCAAUGGACGCGAGUCUGAACCAGCCAAGUAGCGUGAAGGAUGACUGCCCUAUGGGUUGUAAACUUCUUUUAUAUGGGAAUAAAGUGGUCCACGUGUGGAUUUUUGUAUGUACCAUAUGAAUAAGGAUCGGCUAACUCCGUGCCAGCAGCCGCGGUAAUACGGAGGAUCCGAGCGUUAUCCGGAUUUAUUGGGUUUAAAGGGAGCGUAGGCGGAUUGUUAAGUCAGUUGUGAAAGUUUGCGGCUCAACCGUAAAAUUGCAGUUGAUACUGGCAGUCUUGAGUGCAGUAGAGGUGGGCGGAAUUCGUGGUGUAGCGGUGAAAUGCUUAGAUAUCACGAAGAACUCCGAUUGCGAAGGCAGCUCACUGGAGUGUAACUGACGCUGAUGCUCGAAAGUGUGGGUAUCAAACAGG